AUGAAGAUGGCGACUUGCAUUCGUAAGGUGGCCUUAGAGGAGUUUGGAGUAUCCAAGGGAAGGAGAAGCGAAGCUAAGGAUACCUGGCGGUGGAAUGAUGAUGUCCAGAAGGCGAUUAAGGAGAAGAAAGAUUGUUUCAGACGCCUAUACUUGGAUAGGAGUGCAGACAACAUAGAGAAGUACAAGAUGGCGAAGAAGGCCGCAAAGCGAGCUAUCAGUGAAGCAAGGGGUCGGGCGUAUGAGGGCCUCUACCAACUGCUAGGCACGAAGGAAGGCGAAAGGGACAUUCACAAGAUGACCAAGAUCUGCGAGAGGAAGACGAGGGAUGUUGGCCCAAGUCAAAUGCAUCAAGGACGGAGCAGACCAACUCCUGGUGAAGGACGAGGAGAUGAAGCAUAG
RNAcentral lists this ribosomal RNA (399 nucleotides) under Triticum aestivum (bread wheat). RNAcentral describes it as "partial small subunit ribosomal RNA". Lineage: Eukaryota; Viridiplantae; Streptophyta; Magnoliopsida; Poales; Poaceae. The record is from RNAcentral.